This 427-nucleotide ribosomal RNA is filed under the name uncultured bacterium. RNAcentral's name for it is "partial 16S ribosomal RNA". It matches the Rfam family "Bacterial small subunit ribosomal RNA", at positions 355 to 774 of the family's 1533-position model. The record is from RNAcentral.
UGGGGAAUAUUGCACAAUGGGCGCAAGCCUGAUGCAGCCAUGCCGCGUGUAUGAAGAAGGCCUUCGGGUUGUAAAGUACUUUCAGCGGGGAGGAAGGCGAUAAGGUUAAUAACCUUGUCGAUUGACGUUACCCGCAGAAGAAGCACAGGCUAACUCCGUGCCAGCAGCCGCGGUAAUACGGAGGGUGCAAGCGUUAAUCGGAAUUACUGGGCGUAAAGCGCACGCAGGCGGUCUGUCAAGUCGGAUGUGAAAUCCCCGGGCUCAACCUGGGAACUGCAUUCGAAACUGGCAGGCUAGAGUCUUGUAGAGGGGGGUAGAAUUCCAGGUGUAGCGGUGAAAUGCGUAGAGAUCUGGAGGAAUACCGGUGGCGAAGGCGGCCCCCUGGACAAAGACUGACGCUCAGGUGCGAAAGCGUGGGGAGCAAACA